Molecule: ribosomal RNA, 588 nt
Filed under: uncultured bacterium
Lineage: Bacteria
Description: partial 16S ribosomal RNA
Rfam family: Bacterial small subunit ribosomal RNA
Source: RNAcentral
UGGGGAAUUUUGGACAAUGGGCGAAAGCCUGAUCCAGCAAUGCCGCGUGUGUGAAGAAGGCCUUCGGGUUGUAAAGCACUUUUGUCCGGAAAGAAAUCCUUGGCUCUAAUACAGUCGGGGGGAUGACGAUACCGGAAGAAUAAGCACCGGCUAACUACGUGCCAGCAGCCGCGGUAAUACGUAGGGUGCAAGCGUUAAUCGGAAUUACUGGGCGUAAAGCGUGCGCAGGCGGUUUGCUAAGACCGAUGUGAAAUCCCCGGGCUCAACCUGGGAACUGCAUUGGUGACUGGCAGGCUAGAGUAUGGCAGAGGGGGGUAGAAUUCCACGUGUAGCAGUGAAAUGCGUAGAGAUGUGGAGGAAUACCGAUGGCGAAGGCAGCCCCCCUGGGCCAAUACUGACGCUCAUGCACGAAAGCGUGGGGAGCAAACAGGAUUAGAUACCCUGGUAGUCCACGCCCUAAACGAUGUCAACUAGUUGUUGGGGGAUUCAUUUCCUUAGUAACGUAGCUAACGCGUGAAGUUGACCGCCUGGGGAGUACGGUCGCAAGAUUAAAACUUAAAUGAAUUGACGGGGUCAUAGCUGUUUCCU